ACGAACGCUGGCGGCGUGCCUCAUACAUGCAAGUUGAGCGCUGAAGGUUGGUACUUGUACCCACUGGAUGAGCAGCGAACGGGUGAGUAACGCGUGGGGAAUCUGCCUUUGAGCGGGGGACAACAUUUGGAAACGAAUGCUAAUACCGCAUAAAAACUUUAAACACAAGUUUUAAGUUUGAAAGAUGCAAUUGCAUCACUCAAAGAUGAUCCCGCGUUGUAUUAGCUAGUUGGUGAGGUAAAGGCUCACCAAGGCGAUGAUACAUAGCCGACCUGAGAGGGUGAUCGGCCACAUUGGGACUGAGACACGGCCCAAACUCCUACGGGAGGCAGCAGUAGGGAAUCUUCGGCAAUGGACGAAAGUCUGACCGAGCAACGCCGCGUGAGUGAAGAAGGUUUUCGGAUCGUAAAACUCGGUUGGUAGAGAAGAACGUUGGUGAGAGUGGAAAGCUCAUCAAGUGACGGUAACUACCCAGAAAGGGACGGCUAACUACGUG
RNAcentral lists this ribosomal RNA (496 nucleotides) under uncultured bacterium. RNAcentral describes it as "partial 16S ribosomal RNA". It matches the Rfam family "Bacterial small subunit ribosomal RNA", at positions 29 to 507 of the family's 1533-position model. The record is from RNAcentral.